This 471-nucleotide ribosomal RNA is filed under the name uncultured eukaryote. Its description in RNAcentral is "partial 18S ribosomal RNA". It matches the Rfam family "Eukaryotic small subunit ribosomal RNA", at positions 592 to 976 of the family's 1831-position model. The record is from RNAcentral.
CAGAAGCGUAUAUUAAUGUUGUUGCAGUUAAAACGCUCGUAGUUGGAUCUUGGAGAUGAGCGGAGCUCUGUCCACCUGAAGGUGAGUACGGACUCUCUCUCUCUGUAUUUGGUAACAGUGUAUGGUGGCUCUUAACUGAGUUUGCCAUUGGGUGGAGCGCAAGUGAAGCCUGGGCGGGCGUGCCGAGAGGAGGCUUGGGGUGCAAGCCCUGGGUCGCUCUGGUGCGGCGUGAUACUUUACCUCAUUUACUUUGAAAAAAAUAGAGUGCUCAAAGCAGACCUUAGGGUCAUUGAAUAAUUCAGCAUGGGAUAAUAGAACACGAGUGCGAGCUCAUUUGUUGGUAUUAUGGGUUUGAACUAAUGAUUAAAAGGGACCGUCGGGGUGGUUUGUAUUGAAAAGCUAGAGGUGAAAUUCUUGGAUUUUUUCAAGACAAACUACUGCGAAAGCAAUCCACUAGGAGGUUCUCAUUAA